AAGGUAUAGGGACAUGCCCAUAGUCCACCAAGUUUUGAUGUUGAAAAUAACAGAUUUCUCAAAAAAAUUCAUUUGGUGCCUCACAAAUCAGUUGGGUGAUGCUUCUUUUUGUCUCACAAAAAAAUGAAUCCAAAGUUUGUGGACACAUAAAACUUGGGUUCUUUUUUUUUUUUUUUGUGUGCGUGAGACAAAGAAAUGCAUUAAAUAACUAAUGUCAGUUGUGAGAAACCGUAAAAAAAAUUCAGAUUUCUUAGUUACCAAAAUAUAAAACAAAAAACUAUGGCUCGGUACUGAAAAGUUGGCAUCUAAAAACGCUUAGUAUAGUAAGUGACUUUUGGACUGGUAUAUAAAUGAUCAUGAAGAGGAGGCUUGAAGUAACUGGUAAAGUUGCUGCCAUGUGAUCAGGAGGUCACAGGUUCAAAUCUUGGAAACGGCUUCUGGCAGAAAUACGUAAGGUUGCGUACGAUACACCCUUGUGGUGGGGCCCUUCUCUGGACACAGCGCAUAGCGGUAGCUUUAGUGCACCGGGCUGCCCUUUUAUAUAAAUGAUAAUUUCUCAAGAAAAAUGUACAAAAGAUGAUGAAUAUUGUAGUUGUAUUCUAGGAUAGUAGUUGCUGAGAGAGAGGCAGUGAGCAUUGCUUGCUCUCCUUAUAGCUGCUUUUCAUGAAAAUCUCCUUAGUAAGACACAACUGCAGCCACAAAUGUGCACGUAUUAAAACUUCUAUGCUUAACAUUUCAAAGAUAGUGAACUCACAUAGUUACAAGCUACACCAUAAGAGUAGUUGACAAAACCCAAAAAAGAGAAAAAAGGAAAAGCUAUUAGAGUCUUUGUUGAAUAUGGUGACAAUCAAAAAAAUCCAUUGGGCAGUCGAUAUGGCUAAAAAUCUCCUUUUCUUGUCCUGAUACUUUAUUAUGGUUGAUCAUCUGCUAAUUUUCUGAGGGGAUGGCCUCUCUUCUAUCUGACAGAAUUCAUUUUAUGGAACGUAGUAGGGGGCUGAGGCAUCAUAAUAUUAUUGUGAUGGUUGAGCGACGUGUUUCUCUUGUCUUGUCAGCGAUGGACAAGGCUUGAUAAUCUUAAUUGCAGGUAAUAUAGUUGCACAUUAAGGAGGUAACACUGCUUAUUUCUUUUCCUCCUGCAACGAGGCAUGAGGGUAUUCAUAUUCUCGUUCAUAGAUAUCACAUAGUAUAUAACAGAUGCUGUACGAGUCGUGUUCUCAUAUUAACAAAAUAUCUUAGACUAGGCUAUCCUGGUUGGCCGGAAAUAUUUUUACACUAUUAGUUCUGGCAAGAAAGAUGAAAGUUGUAAAAAAGUGGUGAUGGAUUCGUCACAAUAUGCAGCCUCUAUUCACAAUUUCAGAAAGUUUACAAGGACAAUGUUAUGUCUGUUGCAGCUAUUUGCUUCUGCUUAUUGCCUCGCCAAAAUGGGAGAGUAACUCCAUUUCUUAAAUCUGCCUUUUCACAUUAUGGAUUCAGACGUUCCAAAGAGAAAGGAAAAAGGGCACAAUUCAUGAAUUCUUGCUCCCUUCCAGCUUUCUGAUGAUCUUUGGAAGUUUCUUGGUACAGAAGAGACUCAAUUGUCACAGUCCGACAUUAUUUAGAGAAUUACAGAGUACAUUAAGCAAAUUAAAAUAACUUGCAGGCCGGUAACUUUUCAGAGGUUGUUUUAAGGUUUUCACUAGCUAUACAUUGCUACACAUGGGACUUCUACACUACAGAGUGUGGCUUCGAUUUGCUCGAGGCCAAUAUACAAAUGUCUGAAGGCUCUUAACUGGGGAGCAAUCAGUCCAUCCAAGGAAAAUUUCGAAGAAAAGUUGUCCUAUAAUUCAAAAUUAUGAUGAAGACUUUUGAGAAGUUAUAUUUUUAAGUGUGCUCAAGGAUGAAGUGUAUUUCUUAUUUACAUCCCCUAGGAUGGUGUUUGUCUUCUCAUGUAAUUUACUUGGUAAGAAUGUAGGGGAAAGCCAAAAAAAAAAAAAAAAAAACUUUGCUUUA
Molecule: long non-coding RNA, 1989 nt
Organism: Capsicum annuum
Lineage: Eukaryota; Viridiplantae; Streptophyta; Magnoliopsida; Solanales; Solanaceae
Exons: 3
Source: RefSeq, a predicted model, not a curated record